UAGGGAAUAUUGGACAAUGGAGGCAACCCUGAUCCAGCCAUGCCGCGUGAGUGAAGAAGGCCCUCGGGUUGUAAAGCUCUUUUGUCCGGAAAGAAAAGCAUUCGGUGAAUACCCGGAUGUUCUGACGGUACCGGAAGAAUAAGCACCGGCUAACUUCGUGCCAGCAGCCGCGGUAAUACGAAGGGUGCAAGCGUUACUCGGAAUUACUGGGCGUAAAGCGUGCGUAGGUGGUUGUUUAGGUCUGAUGUGAAAGCCCUGGGCUCAACCUGGGAAUGGCAUUGGAAACUGGGCAGCUAGAGUGCGGUAGAGGGUAGUGGAAUUCCCAGUGUAGCAGUGAAAUGCGUAGAGAUCGGGAGGAACAUCUGUGGCGAAGGCGACUGCCUGGACCAGCACUGACACUGAGGCACGAAAGCGUGGGGAGCAAACA
Molecule: ribosomal RNA, 427 nt
Filed under: uncultured bacterium
Lineage: Bacteria
Description: bacterial SSU rRNA
Rfam family: Bacterial small subunit ribosomal RNA
Source: RNAcentral